Non-coding RNA from Tephrocybe rancida, 96 nucleotides. The record is from the annotation of a GenBank genome assembly. Lineage: Eukaryota; Fungi; Basidiomycota; Agaricomycetes; Agaricales; Lyophyllaceae.
UGUCCUAUGGCCUUGUUGGUUACGGCGUCCGAUUGUUAUAUGAACUCCUCUUCGUUACACAUUGGAAGAUCGAGAGUUCAACUCUCUCUGGGACAC